AUUGAACGCUGGCGGCAUGCCUUACACAUGCAAGUCGAACGGUAACAGGUCUUCGGAUGCCGACGAGUGGCGAACGGGUGAGUAAUACAUCGGAACGUGCCUAGUAGUGGGGGAUAACUACUCGAAAGAGUGGCUAAUACCGCAUGAGAUCUACGGAUGAAAGCAGGGGAUCGCAAGACCUUGCGCUACUAGAGCGGCCGAUGGCAGAUUAGGUAGUUGGUGGGAUAAAAGCUUACCAAGCCGACGAUCUGUAGCUGGUCUGAGAGGACGAUCAGCCACACUGGGACUGAGACACGGCCCAGACUCCUACGGGAGGCAGCAGUGGGGAAUUUUGGACAAUGGGCGAAAGCCUGAUCCAGCAAUGCCGCGUGCAGGAUGAAGGCCUUCGGGUUGUAAACUGCUUUUGUACGGAACGAAAAGCCCCGGGUUAAUACCCUGGGGUCAUGACGGUAUCGUAAGAAUAAGCACCGGCUAACUACGUGCCAGCCGCCGCGGUAA
RNAcentral lists this ribosomal RNA (498 nucleotides) under uncultured bacterium. RNAcentral's name for it is "partial 16S ribosomal RNA". It matches the Rfam family "Bacterial small subunit ribosomal RNA", at positions 30 to 523 of the family's 1533-position model. The record is from RNAcentral.